AUUGAACGCUGGCGGCAUGCUUUACACAUGCAAGUCGAACGGUAACAGCACUUCGGUGGCUGACGAGUGGCGAACGGGUGAGUAAUACAUCGGAACGUGCCUAGUAGUGGGGGAUAACUACUCGAAAGAGUAGCUAAUACCGCAUGAGAUCUAAGGAUGAAAGCAGGGGACCUUCGGGCCUUGCGCUACUAGAGCGGCUGAUGGCAGAUUAGGUAGUUGGUGGGAUAAAAGCUUACCAAGCCGACGAUCUGUAGCUGGUCUGAGAGGACGACCAGCCACACUGGGACUGAGACACGGCCCAGACUCCUACGGGAGGCAGCAGUGGGGAAUUUUGGACAAUGGGGGCAAGCCUGAUCCAGCAAUGCCGCGUGCAGGAUGAAGGCCUUCGGGUUGUAAACUGCUUUUGUACGGAACGAAAAGCCCUCUUCUAAUACGGGAGGGUCAUGACGGUACCGUAAGAAUAAGCACCGGCUAACUACGUG
This 482-nucleotide ribosomal RNA is filed under the name uncultured bacterium. RNAcentral's name for it is "partial 16S ribosomal RNA". It matches the Rfam family "Bacterial small subunit ribosomal RNA", at positions 30 to 507 of the family's 1533-position model. The record is from RNAcentral.